Populus euphratica (Euphrates poplar) is the source of this 364-nucleotide long non-coding RNA. RefSeq lists it as uncharacterized. The record is from RefSeq and is a predicted model, not a curated record. The transcript has 2 exons. Lineage: Eukaryota; Viridiplantae; Streptophyta; Magnoliopsida; Malpighiales; Salicaceae.
AGUUAAACAUGUUGUCCAAAAUUUGCUAGUGAAUCAAACAUCACGAUGUCUUGCAUGACUUCUUCCAUCUUCAGCCAACGAUAUGUUUGGGACAGGAGAACCAACAUUUUCUUGUCCUGGAUGGCUUGCUCAUUAUAGGUCAUGAGUCUAACAUGAAGUACUUCGUCAGCUUCCAACUUAGAACAUAUAUCUAACCCCUUUUUGCAUUCAAAAGGCCAUUCUCCAACGAACAUUGUCAUAUUGUCCCUUCUCAUAUGAGGUCGAUUAGCUUCGUAUAGGUUAUGUCUUCCUUGGUUGCCUAGUGUAGUCUCUCCACCCUAUUAGACUCCAACUGCAUAAUAGCAAACAAAGUAGCAGACACAUC